GGAGGAAAAGAAACCAACAGGGAUUGCCUUAGUAGCGGCGAGUGAAGCGGCAAAAGCUCAAAUUUGAAAUCUGGCACUUUCAGUGUCCGAGUUGUAAUUUGAAGAAGGUAUCUUUGGGUCUGGCUCUUGUCUAUGUUUCUUGGAACAGAACGUCACAGAGGGUGAGAAUCCCGUGCGAUGAGAUGACCCAGACCUAUGUAAAGUUCCUUCGAAGAGUCGAGUUGUUUGGGAAUGCAGCUCUAAGUGGGUGGUAAAUUCCAUCUAAAGCUAAAUAUUGGCGAGAGACCGAUAGCGAACAAGUACAGUGAUGGAAAGAUGAAAAGAACUUUGAAAAGAGAGUGAAAAAGUACGUGAAAUUGUUGAAAGGGAAGGGCUUGAGAUCAGACUUGGUAUUUUGUAUGUUACUCUCUCGGGGGUGGCCUCUACAGUUUACCGGGCCAGCAUCAGUUUGGGCGGUAGGACAAUUGCAAAGAAAUGUGGCACUGCCUCGGUAGUGUGUUAUAGUCUUUGUCGAUACUGCCAGCCUAGACUGAGGACUGCGGCUUCGGCCUAGGAUGUUGGCAUAAUGAUCUUAAGUCGCCCGUCUU
Molecule: ribosomal RNA, 587 nt
Filed under: Lodderomyces orthopsilosis
Lineage: Eukaryota; Fungi; Ascomycota; Pichiomycetes; Serinales; Debaryomycetaceae
Description: eukaryotic LSU rRNA
Rfam family: Eukaryotic large subunit ribosomal RNA
Source: RNAcentral